UACGAAGGGGGCUAGCGUUGUUCGGAAUUACUGGGCGUAAAGGGCGCGUAGGCGGGAUGGCAAGUCGGUCGUGAAAUCCCUCGGCUCAACCGAGGAACGUCGAUCGAUACUGCUGUUCUUGAGGAUUGCAGAGGAGACUGGAAUUCCCGGUGUAGCGGUGAAAUGUGUAGAGAUCGGGAGGAACACCAGAGGCGAAGGCGGCCUACUGGGCUGCACCUGACGCUGAGCCGCGAAAGCCAGGGGAGCGAACGGG
This 253-nucleotide ribosomal RNA is filed under the name uncultured bacterium. Its description in RNAcentral is "partial 16S ribosomal RNA". It matches the Rfam family "Bacterial small subunit ribosomal RNA", at positions 524 to 776 of the family's 1533-position model. The record is from RNAcentral.